UACGUAGGUGGCAAGCGUUGUCCGGAUUUACUGGGUGUAAAGGGCGUGUAGCCGGGCUGACAAGUCAGAUGUGAAACCCGGGGGCUCAACCCCCGAACUGCAUUUGAAACUGUUGGUCUUGAGUAUCGGAGAGGCAGGCGGAAUUCCUAGUGUAGCGGUGAAAUGCGUAGAUAUUAGGAGGAACACCAGUGGCGAAGGCGGCCUGCUAGACGACAACUGACGGUGAGGCGCGAAAGCGUGGGGAGCAAACAGG
RNAcentral lists this ribosomal RNA (253 nucleotides) under uncultured bacterium. Its description in RNAcentral is "partial 16S ribosomal RNA". It matches the Rfam family "Bacterial small subunit ribosomal RNA", at positions 524 to 776 of the family's 1533-position model. The record is from RNAcentral.